UACGUAGGGGGCAAGCGUUAUCCGGAUUUACUGGGUGUAAAGGGAGCGUAGACGGCCAGACAAGUCUGAAGUGAAAAUCCAGCGCUUAACGUUGGAAGUGCAUUGGGAACUACCGGGCUGGAGUGCCGGAGAGGUAGGCGGAAUUCCUAGUGUAGCGGUGAAAUGCGUAGAUAUUAGGAGGAACACCAGUGGCGAAGGCGGCCUACUGGACGGUGACUGACGCUGAGGCUCGAAAGCGUGGGGAGCAAACAGG
RNAcentral lists this ribosomal RNA (253 nucleotides) under uncultured bacterium. RNAcentral describes it as "partial 16S ribosomal RNA". It matches the Rfam family "Bacterial small subunit ribosomal RNA", at positions 524 to 776 of the family's 1533-position model. The record is from RNAcentral.